UGGCUUCAACGUGAAGGUGCUGGGGUUGUCGCUGACCUUUGAAAGGGUCGUGCACACCUUGGUGCUCUCACAUAUAAUCCAUCUCACCCCUUUUGUGCAUCACCGCGUGGGGACCCCUUUUGGCUAGUUCUGAGGGGGGUCUUCACGUUUUUACACAGACACCCUUUUAAUGCAAUGUGUAGAAUGUCUUACUUUUUGCGAUCAUACGCAAUCAAUACAACUUUCAACAACGGAUCUCUUGGCUCUCGCAUCGAUGAAGAACGCAGCGAAAUGCGAUACGUAAUGUGAAUUGCAGAAUUCAGUGAAUCAUCGAAUCUUUGAACGCACCUUGCGCCCUUUGGCAUUCCGAGGGGCACACCCGUUUGAGUGUCGUGACAUUCUCAAAACCUUCUUGGUUUCUUGACCGGGAAGGCUUUGGACUUUGGAGGCUUUUGCUGGCCUUCCUUUGUUGAAGCCAGCUCCUCUGAAAUGAAUUAGUGGGGUCUGCUUUGCCUAUCCUUGACGUGAUAAGAUGUUUUCUACGUCUUGGGUUUUGCACUGUUCCUGCUUCUAACCGUCUCAUAGAAGACAAUGGUCAAGUGAUUGCCACUUGACCCACAAACCUUGACCUCAAAUCGGGUGAGACUACCCGCUGAACUUAAGCAUAUCAAUAAGGCGGGGGGAA
This 664-nucleotide ribosomal RNA is filed under the name Russula sp. HMAS194245. Its description in RNAcentral is "eukaryotic LSU rRNA". The stretch from base 219 to 372 matches the Rfam family "5.8S ribosomal RNA". The record is from RNAcentral. Lineage: Eukaryota; Fungi; Basidiomycota; Agaricomycetes; Russulales; Russulaceae.